GACGUAGGGCGCGAGCGUUGUCCGGAUUUAUUGGGCGUAAAGAGCUCGUAGGCGGCUUGUCGCGUCGUCCGUGAAAACCCACAGCUCAACUGUGGGCUUGCGGUCGAUACGGGCGGGCUAGAGUUCGGUAGGGGAGACUGGAAUUCCUGGUGUAGCGGUGAAAUGCGCAGAUAUCAGGAGGAACACCGGUGGCGAAGGCGGGUCUCUGGGCCGAUACUGACGCUGAGGAGCGAAAGCGUGGGGAGCGAACAGG
This 253-nucleotide ribosomal RNA is filed under the name uncultured bacterium. Its description in RNAcentral is "partial 16S ribosomal RNA". It matches the Rfam family "Bacterial small subunit ribosomal RNA", at positions 524 to 776 of the family's 1533-position model. The record is from RNAcentral.